RNAcentral lists this ribosomal RNA (434 nucleotides) under uncultured Clostridium sp. Its description in RNAcentral is "partial 16S ribosomal RNA". It matches the Rfam family "Bacterial small subunit ribosomal RNA", at positions 341 to 792 of the family's 1533-position model. Lineage: Bacteria; Bacillati; Bacillota; Clostridia; Eubacteriales; Clostridiaceae. The record is from RNAcentral.
ACGGAAGGCAGCAGUGGGGAAUAUUGCACAAUGGGGGAAACCCUGAUGCAGCAACGCCGCGUGAAGGAUGAAGGUCUUUGGAUCGUAAACUUCUGUCCUUGGGGAAGAUAAUGACGGUACCCUUGGAGGAAGCCCCGGCUAACUACGUGCCAGCAGCCGCGGUAAUACGUAGGGGGCAAGCGUUAUCCGGAUUUACUGGGUGUAAAGGGAGCGUAGACGGUAUGGCAAGUCUGAAGUGAAAUGCAUGGGCUCAACCCAUGAACUGCUUUGGAAGCUGUCAAACUAGAGUGCAGGAGAGGUAAGUGGAAUUCCUAGUGUAGCGGUGAAAUGCGUAGAUAUUAGGAGGAACACCAGUGGCGAAGGCGGCUUACUGGACUGUAACUGACGUUGAGGCUCGAAAGCGUGGGGAGCAAACAGGAUUAGAUACCCUGGUA